AGAGUUUGAUCCUGGCUCAGGACGAACGCUGGCGGCGCGCCUAACACAUGCAAGUCGAACGAGCGAGAGAGAGCUUGCUUUCUCGAGCGAGUGGCGAACGGGUGAGUAACGCGUGAGGAACCUGCCCAAAGAGGGGGACAACAGUUGGAAACGACUGCUAAUACCGCAUAAGCCCACAGCUCGGCAUCGAGCAGAGGGAAAAGGAGCAAUCCGCUUUGAGAUGGCCUCGCGUCCGAUUAGCUGGUUGGUGAGGUAACGGCCCACCAAGGCGACGAUCGGUAGCCGGACUGAGAGGUUGAACGGCCACAUUGGGACUGAGACACGGCCCAGACUCCUACGGGAGGCAGCAGUGGGGAAUAUUGCACAAUGGGGGAAACCCUGAUGCAGCGACGCCGCGUGGAGGAAGAAGGUCUUCGGAUUGUAAACUCCUGUUGUUGAGGAAGAUAAUGACGGUACUCAACAAGGAAGUGACGGCUAACUACGUGCCAGCAGCCGCGGUAAAACGUAGGUCACAAGCGUUGUCCGGAAUUACUGGGUGUAAAGGGAGCGCAGGCGGGAAGGCAAGUUGGAAGUGAAAUCCAUGGGCUCAACCCAUGAACUGCUUUCAAAACUGUUUUUCUUGAGUAGUGCAGAGGUAGGCGGAAUUCCCGGUGUAGCGGUGGAAUGCGUAGAUAUCGGGAGGAACACCAGUGGCGAAGGCGGCCUACUGGGCACCAACUGACGCUGAGGCUCGAAAGUGUGGGUAGCAAACAGGAUUAGAUACCCUGGUAGUCCACACUGUAAACGAUGAUUACUAGGUGUUGGAGGAUUGACCCCUUCAGUGCCGCAGUUAACACAAUAAGUAAUCCACCUGGGGAGUACGACCGCAAGGUUGAAACUCAAAGGAAUUGACGGGGGCCCGCACAAGCAGUGGAGUAUGUGGUUUAAUUCGACGCAACGCGAAGAACCUUACCAAGUCUUGACAUCCUGCGACGCACAUAGAAAUAUGUGUUUCCUUCGGGACGCAGAGACAGGUGGUGCAUGGUUGUCGUCAGCUCGUGUCGUGAGAUGUUGGGUUAAGUCCCGCAACGAGCGCAACCCUUAUGGUCAGUUACUACGCAAGAGGACUCUGGCCAGACUGCCGUUGACAAAACGGAGGAAGGUGGGGAUGACGUCAAAUCAUCAUGCCCUUUAUGACUUGGGCUACACACGUACUACAAUGGCGUUAAACAAAGAGAAGCAAGACCGCGAGGUGGAGCAAAACUCAGAAACAACGUCCCAGUUCGGACUGCAGGCUGCAACUCGCCUGCACGAAGUCGGAAUUGCUAGUAAUCGCAGAUCAGCAUGCUGCGGUGAAUACGUUCCCGGGCCCUUGUACACACCGCCCGUC
RNAcentral lists this ribosomal RNA (1369 nucleotides) under uncultured bacterium. RNAcentral describes it as "bacterial SSU rRNA". It matches the Rfam family "Bacterial small subunit ribosomal RNA". The record is from RNAcentral.